Non-coding RNA from Prunus mume (Japanese apricot), 3012 nucleotides. The record is from RefSeq and is a predicted model, not a curated record. Lineage: Eukaryota; Viridiplantae; Streptophyta; Magnoliopsida; Rosales; Rosaceae.
CUCCUUUCCUUAGAUGGAAUUAUUACCAUGCAACCUUGUUUUCUGUCCCUCCUUUGAGAAUCCUCCCCUGUUGCAUGCCCUUCUGCUUUAGGGGUCAUCAACAGGCUCACCUUUCAAAGGAGCGGUGGGGUUUCUCCGGCACAGACCCACGAUUAUUCUGGUCGGAAACUCCUAAAAAUGGGGUCCUCUGACGAUCAGAAUUCGCCAUCGGAUACCCCACCAUCUGACUCUUCAUCAUCAUCACCAACUCCUCCAUCUUCGUCGUCCUCAUCCUCAUCCUCAUCACCCUCUCCACCAUCAUCGAAUUCAGGUUCGGGUUCAAGCUCAGGUUCGAGUGGGGGUUCAGGUUCAGGUUCGAGUGGAGGUUCAAGUUCAAGUGGAGGCUCACCGCCCUCAUCAUCAUCCCCACCUCCAAAGGACUCAUCACCUCCUAAAAGCGACUCAUCCUCCUCAAACAACUCAAACGGCGGCUCGUCAUCUUCAGGAAACUCAAACAGCUCAUCCCCGCCUUCCGACAAGUCUUCCGGCGGUAACUCUUCCAAUAACUCUAACAACUCCGGUGGCUCCUCCUCCUCCUCCAACAAUUCGAAUAACUCAAACAACAACUCGAACAAUUCGAAUAACUCAUCGCCUCCUAGCAACAACAACUCGAACAACUCACCGCCUUCCAACGACAACAACUCCGACAAUUCGAACAACAACAACUCCAACAAUUCAAACAACAACUCAAAUGACUCAAACAACCAAAACCAAAAGUCCCCUCCACAGUCCAAUUCUCAAAAGAGUCCUCCAUCGUCCUCCUCUAACAAUAACAAUAAUGGAGGGAAUCAGAACAAUAAUAACAAUAAUGGAGGGAAUCAGAACAACAACAACAACGGCAACGGCAACAACCACCAAAACAACCAAAACAACCAAAACAACCAAAACAAUCAAAACAACAACAACAACCAUAAUAAUAACAACAAUAACUCUCAGUCGCCACCUAAAUCAUCCAAUGGGAACAAUUGGUCACCAAAAUCGUCCAAUAAUUGGUCACCCCCAGCCAUAUCAGGCAAGUCCCAUCCAUCACCUGAUAAUGAUGGGUCACCGCCGCCUUCGCACUCGAGUUCGAGCUCCACGCCCAUCAUCAUAGGAGUUGUAGCUGCGGCAGGGGUUUUGUUGCUUGUCAUGGUGUUCUUCUUCAUGGCGUGCUCUAAGAGGAGGAAGAAGAGACAAACUUCUUCUCACCUUAUGGAGAACCCUGAGCCAUAUCUUCCAAAUGGAAGUAACUAUUGGCAAAGCACUGGACCUAAAAGUACCGAGCACAUUAUGAACAUGCCUCCUUCUGGCCGCGCACCCAAUGGAGGUUGGACUACAUCCACAGCUCCACCGCCCCCCAUGAUGAGCAGCGAAAUGAGUUCCUCCAACUUCUCCGGUCCACAUGGUCCCCCCUUGCCGCCACCACACCCUAAUGUGGCUCUCGGGUUCAACAAGAGCACUUUCACCUAUGAUGAGAUGGCGGCUGCAACAUCAGGGUUUGCGCCAGCUAAGCUAAUAGGCCAAGGUGGUUUCGGGUACGUACACAAAGGGGUGUUGCCAAACGGCAAGGAAAUCGCUGUGAAGAGCCUCAAAGCGGGUAGCGGACAAGGCGACCGUGAAUUUGCAGCCGAGGUUGAGAUCAUUAGUCGUGUUCAUCAUCGCCACCUUGUGUCGCUUGUGGGGUACUGCCUUGAAGGAGAACGAAAGCUGUUGGUGUAUGAAUUUGUUCCUAACAACAAUCUCGAAUUCCACCUUCACGGACCAAAUCGGCCACCCUUGGAAUGGGGUCACAGGGCCAAAAUUGCGUUGGGAUCGGCUAAAGGGCUUGCUUACUUGCACGAAGACUGUCACCCCAAGAUUAUCCACCGCGACAUUAAGGCUGCAAAUAUUCUGAUUGACUUUAGCUUCGAAGCUAAGGUGGCAGAUUUUGGGCUGGCAAAGCUGAACCAGGAAAAUGUCACCCAUGUAUCUACCCGUGUCAUGGGAACAUUUGGGUACUUGGCUCCUGAGUACGCAUCGAGUGGAAAGCUAACUGAGAAGUCCGACGUUUUCUCUUUCGGUAUUAUGCUCUUGGAGCUCAUCUGUGGACGCCGCCCUGUGGACUUGUCUGGAGAAUAUGAGGAGGAUACCUUAGUAGACUGGGCUAGGCCUCGCUGCCUGAAAGCAAUAGAUACUGGGGACUAUUCUGAAGUGUUGGAUCCACGGCUAGAGAACAAUUAUAACCAUGAAGAAGUGGCACGAAUGGUGGCAUGUGCUGCUGCGAGCGUUCGACACUCUGCGAAGAAGCGACCAAGAAUGAGCCAGAUUGUUCGUGCAUUGGAAGGCGAUGUCUCAAUGGAAGACUUGCACGAGGGGAUCAAAGGGCAGUUUGGCUCUGGCUCUACCAGCAUUGCUUCAUCUGAGUUUGAUGCUGACUCGUACAAUGCGAAAAUGAAGCCGUUCAGAAAGCCGGCACUGAUUGACAGCACAGACUAUCCAAGCAGUGAAUACGGGCCCACAAGCGAGUACAGCCACAACUCCACCUCUGCAAGCAGCAAUCACUCCCAAGAGAUGGACAACAAGAAAGGGAUGAACCGGCCACAAGGUCCAGUUUGAUCCGCAAACAACGAGCUGGAACAUGGACCGAACCGAUCGAACAAGAUAACCCAGAACUGGUUUUAUGACCUUCGGAGUACUAUAUUAUAGAAACAUAAAGAUUCUGCAGGUAGGUAAAGAUGGUGGUAGAUGCACAAUUGUGACAUUCCAUUAAACAUGGGGCACACCAAAUGAUGGAGGAGUUGUGAUUUUCUUUUUCUUUUUUCUUUCUUACGUUCUUUUGGAAAAUGGGUGAACCUAGCUAUGUGUGUUUGUAUGUACUUGCUACUAAUGUAAAACAAACACAUGCAUUUGGAGGAAUUGGUAGCUCGUGUGUUUGUAUUUUCUAUAUUUUAUAUCUAAGUAUUAUUGUUAAGAAUUGGUGAGAGUUGAGAAUGGACGGAAAUUUUGGCUAGAGUA